GUGCCAGCCGCCGCGGUAAUACCAGCCCCGCGAGUGGUUGGGACGUUUACUAGGCCUAAAGCGCCUGUAGCCGGCCCUGUAAGUCCCUCCCUAAAGGCCCGGGCUCAACCCGGGAACCGGGAGGGAUACUGCAGGGCUAGGGGGCGGGAGAGGCGGGGGGUACUCCCGGAGUAGGGGCGAAAUCCGUAGAUCCCGGGAGGACCACCAGUGGCGAAGGCGCCCCGCUAGAACGCGCCCGACGGUGAGAGGCGAAAGCCGGGGCAGCAAAAGGGAUUAGAUACCCCUGUAGUCCCGGCUGUAAACUAUGCGGGCCAGGUGUCGGGCGGGCGUUAGAGCCCGCCCGGUGCCGCAGGGAAGCCGUUAAGCCCGCCGCCUGGGGAGUACGGCCGCAAGGCUGAAACUUAAAGGAAUUGGCGGGGGGGCACACAAGGGGUGGAGCCUGCGGCUCAAUUGGAGUCAACGCCGGGAACCUCUACCGGGGGCGACAGCAGGAUGACGGCCAGGCUAACGACCUUGCCCGACGCGCUGAGGGGAGGUGCAUGGCCGUCGCCAGCUCGUGCUGUGAAGUGUCCUGUUAAGUCCGGCAACGAGCGAGACCCCCACCCCUAGUUGGUACCCUGGCCUCCGGGCCAGGGCCACACUAGGGGGACUGCCGCCGUAAGGCGGAGGAAGGAGGGGGCCACGGCAGGUCAGCAUGCCCCUAAACCCCCGGGCUGCACGCGGGCUACAAUGGCGGGGACAGCGGGAUCCGACCCCGAGAGGGGGAGGCAAUCCCUGAAACCCCGCCGUAGUUGGGAUCGGGGGCUGAAACUCGCCCCCGUGAACCUGGAAUCCCUAGUAACCGCGCGUCACUCAUCGCGCGGUGAAUACGUCCCUGCCCAUUGUACACACCGCCCGUC
This 899-nucleotide ribosomal RNA is filed under the name uncultured archaeon. RNAcentral describes it as "SSU rRNA". It matches the Rfam family "Archaeal small subunit ribosomal RNA", at positions 455 to 1354 of the family's 1478-position model. The record is from RNAcentral.